This 72-nucleotide transfer RNA is filed under the name Bacteroidales bacterium. Its description in RNAcentral is "tRNA-Cys". It matches the Rfam family "tRNA". Rfam says of the family: Transfer RNA (tRNA) molecules are approximately 80 nucleotides in length. Their secondary structure includes four short double-helical elements and three loops (D, anti-codon, and T loops). Further hydrogen bonds mediate the characteristic L-shaped molecular structure. tRNAs have two regions of fundamental functional importance: the anti-codon, which is responsible for specific mRNA codon recognition, and the 3' end, to which the tRNAs corresponding amino acid is attached (by aminoacyl-tRNA synthetases). tRNAs cope with the degeneracy of the genetic code in two manners: having more than one tRNA (with a specific anti-codon) for a particular amino acid; and 'wobble' base-pairing, i.e. permitting non-standard base-pairing at the 3rd anti-codon position. The record is from RNAcentral. Lineage: Bacteria; Pseudomonadati; Bacteroidota; Bacteroidia; Bacteroidales.
GGUGCGUUGGAUGAGUGGCUUAGUCACCGGUCUGCAAAACCGUUUACACCCGUUCGAAUCGGGUACGCACCU